This 1660-nucleotide long non-coding RNA is filed under the name Pelobates cultripes (western spadefoot toad). The record is from RNAcentral. Lineage: Eukaryota; Metazoa; Chordata; Amphibia; Anura; Pelobatidae.
GUGACAUAUGUUUACUCUUUGUAAUCCCAACCAGUUUCUUAUGCCCUCCCCUUACAGAAAUAUGUCUUACACAUCUGUAACAUAAGUGAAAUAUUUUGGAGGGUUUCAACCCAUCACAUAUCAGAUGCUCUUUUUUCCAGCUUUACAGGACAGUCUAAUCUUAAUGAACUGGGAAUAGUUGCUGCCACUAGAUCUUUUCUGUUUUAAACAGUGCAAUUUCUGAGAAAAAGACGGUUUACUUUUAGCAAUCAGAAAGGAGGUGAUUCAGCGCUUGUAGAAUACUGGUAUAGUUCAAGGGCAGCUUAGUCACCAAAUCUGCAGCCUCUCUAGUCCGGUGAAGGAGGAGAAGCAGAAGGAUGGUGUAGCACCUGCAAUGUCGUUGCAAAUAUGUAAAAUAAAAUAAAUUGAUGGUGUAGUAUGUCAAAUACAGUGAUAAAGAUGAAAAGAGGUAAUCCACUCACACUUUUUGGGAGCCUGGGUGUAGCUCCAAUCUUUGCGCUUGGUCGGAAUAAUCCCCACCUAGGGAUAUGCUGUGGUCCACGGCUCUGUAGGUGGUCUUCCUCUUUACAACACUAUCUUCAUAGAUAUGUAGAAGGAGAAUAGAGACAAUAUGGUGUAUGUCAAACCACAAAGGGGAGAAGAACUAGAUCAAAAAUAUGCACUCACAUGAUAUGGAGCCAGAACGUCUGCUCCCCGGAUAUGGCUUGGAGUGGUAUAAUCCCCACUCUAGGAUAUAAUAGGUGCUCAUUCCUCUCCGUGUAUAGAUAUAGAAGGAAAAAACAAAAGAAACACAAUAGUGGGUAACUGUAAAACUAAAAUAGGAGCUGUAGAAUAAAACCGUACUCCCAUUCGGUGGAGCAUUGCUCAAUCCAAUGGGCGUAGGUGUUUUUGUCCCCAGCAAGGAUCUAAUUGUCCAUAAAAUCCAGCAGCAAUCAAUAUGGUUCCAUAAAAAAGUACUGAAAUCCGGCACUCGAAGAUCCUGGUGCUGCUUACCCACACCUCCUCCUGAUGCUACUACUAGAAAAAGUGCAGAGGCAGCCUGCAGGUCCCUUAUUACUUCAUUCUGUCAUUUUCCAGCUGCUCAGUUUAGAGGUCAGAACUAUAUAGAACUAUAUAGAAACAUAGAAUGUGACGGCAGAAAAGAAACUUUUGGCCCAUCUAGUCUGCUCAAUUUUCUAAAUAAUUUCAUUAGUCCCUGGCCUUAUCUUGUAGUUAGGAUAGCCUUAUGCCUAUCCCACGCAUGCUUAAACUCCUUUACUGUGUUAACCUCUACCACUUCAGCUGGAAGGCUAUUCUAUGCAAGUAAUACUUCCUGAUUUUUUUAAACCUUUGUCCCUCUAAUUUAAGACUAUGUCCUCUUGUUGUGGUAGUUCUCCUUUUAAAUAUAGUCUCCUCCUUUACUGUGUUGAUUCCCUUUAUAUAUUUAAAUGUUUCUAUCAUAUACCCCCUGUCUCGUCUUUCCUCCAAGCUAUACAUGUUAAGAUCCUUAACCUUUCCUGGUAAGUUUUAUCCUGCAAUCCAUGAACCAGCUUAAUAGCCCUUCUCUGAACUCUCUCUAAGGUAUCAAUAUCCUUCUGAAGAUACAGUCUCCAGUACUGCGUACAAUACUCCAAGUGAGGUCUCACCAGUAUUCUGUACAAUGGCAUGAGCACUUCCCUCU